GACGUAGGGUGCGAGCGUUGUCCGGAUUUAUUGGGCGUAAAGAGCGCGCAGGCGGUCGUGCAAGUCGCGUGUGAAAGCCCCCGGCUCAACUGGGGAGGGUCACGCGAUACUGCUCGACUUGAAGGCAGGAGAGGGUAGUGGAAUUCCCGGUGUAGUGGUGAAAUGCGUAGAUAUCGGGAGGAACACCAGUGGCGAAGGCGACUACCUGGCCUGUUCUUGACGCUGAGGCGCGAAAGCUAGGGGAGCAAACGGG
Molecule: ribosomal RNA, 253 nt
Filed under: uncultured bacterium
Lineage: Bacteria
Description: partial 16S ribosomal RNA
Rfam family: Bacterial small subunit ribosomal RNA
Source: RNAcentral